RNAcentral lists this long non-coding RNA (1395 nucleotides) under Neodiprion pinetum (white pine sawfly). RNAcentral's name for it is "uncharacterized LOC124219394". Lineage: Eukaryota; Metazoa; Arthropoda; Insecta; Hymenoptera; Diprionidae. The record is from RNAcentral.
UGUCAACUUUUAUCACGUACGGUAGGUUAUAUUAAAAAAUAAUAAUAAUAAUAAAUCGAUUUACUUGGUGACGAUAAAUGACACGCAGAUAUUAUUAUGAGCUGUGCAGGCAAUUGGAAAAUCUGUUAAGUCGUAGCACACGAAGGAGAAAUUGCUUAUUUCGGAGGUACUGGAUUAGUGAAUACCAAUCAUGAUAUAAAAUGAUAUUGGGUUGUAACAUUUGUUUCUUAUGUCUCAUAUCAUUGAAAGUCAGGCCUUGAAAAUAAGCUCUGCUGCAAGUGGCUAUCUUAUUGUCUCGAGCCAAGGUGAUAGUUACGAUAAACCACGGUGUUUGAAAUAUCAUUUAUCACAGUUAGGCGUGCGUCAGGGUGGACGGUUUGAACACACAGGAACAAGUACUAGUGUCAUAAACAAGCCCUACGAACCACGAAAGAAAUCUAUAUCACAACCCAAGAUUCUUGGUACGUAUAUAAAAUUCGAGAAAUGUAUUAUCAACCGAAAACGAUAUUUUAGGGGUAAAAGGGGUGGACUCCGCGCUCGGAGAACUUAACGAUCUGGCUGUAUGAUCUCGGUCGUAAAUGGACUCGAUCCCAGUCGCAUUCUGCAGGUUGGGUACUGGGGUCAAACGCCGACGGCUCAGUUCUUGGGCAAAGUGCCGGAGAACCAGGGCGAGGAAUCUUGGUUGCUGCAACCUGCGUAUAUAGGGUGCCAUGCUCCGGCAUCUAGAUAUUCUGUAUGGAAACUUGGAUGUACCAGAUCAUCCUUACCUCAGCGUUAUCUCGAGGACGGCUAGGAUGACGCCGUAGAACAGGGUCUCGGCGCCGAAGACCUUUAUUAGCACCCGCAGUAGACUCGGAUGCACCGGCUCAUCUUCGUCUUCGUCUUCUUUCGGGCCCUUGGCCUUGCUCUUCUUCGAAUCCCGCUUGGCGGUCAGUCUCUGAAUCUCGUUCUCCCAUGUCUUCGUUAUCUUCUCCCCGAGGAGGCCACUCGUAUGCUCCUUCAGCGGAGUGUAUAGAUCUUCGACCUCGAGGUCACGCUUAUAGCCGAGCCAGAAGGUGCCCAGGAUCCAUCUGUGUUCAAAUACAAGGAAAGAAAUUUGAAAGAAAGGAAAAACAUACACUGUCAGAGGUAGGUGAACAAUAUCUGACGCGGUAUGAUAAAGUGGGCACGUUUCUUUGGACGAAUCGCUGUGGCACGACCGCCUCUUCGCCGUAAAAGAGACUAAGAGAGUUGAAUAAAUCCAGGUUCCGUCAACGAUUAUAUAUCCGAUCGCGAUGAGUAGGUGACGUGCGUUACCAGAGAUAACAACAUACAUCGGUGUGACAUGUGAAUAUACGCGCAGAUAACAAUUUCCAUGUCACGAAAUUAUAUAAGGUAAACUUACAUACUUAUGAG